CCCAGUGGGGAUCCUGUAGAGUGUUGAGGGGGUGGAGUCAGAAAGAAAAAAGGAGGGAAAGGAGAAGGAGAACACUGAGUUGUUUCUAAAUAAACCUUUAGUUAAAUCUACAUAAGAUUUCUUCGUCUAUGAGGGAAGCAAUUAUAAAGCAGGAACGUAAAGUACAGCUAGCUUAGAGGGAAGGAACCUUUCAGACUCUCUCAGCCUAACCUGCCUCCCUGGGUAGUUAUGCAGAAUAAAAUGAAGGAGGGACCAUGAAUGCCACCCUGAGUUCCUUGGAGAAACUGCCCCUUCUCAGAAGGAAUAGCUUUUUUUUCUGCACUUCCAUGUCAACAGACCCUUGGGAUUAGGAAUCUGAGCCAUUACUGCCAUGAAGAAAGGGCCUCCAAAAAUGUUCCAGGCCCUCAGCAAGCUAAGAUACCACCCAGGCAAAGCACAACUGAUUCAGCUCUUCCAGAACUGGUGCUAAUAGCAGAUGUAUCAUCCAUAAUAAAAAGUUACAUAUAUUUAUUGAAAGCAA
Long non-coding RNA from Hemicordylus capensis (graceful crag lizard), 520 nucleotides. RefSeq lists it as uncharacterized. The record is from RefSeq and is a predicted model, not a curated record. NCBI's taxonomy places the organism in Eukaryota, Metazoa, Chordata, Lepidosauria, Squamata, Cordylidae. The transcript has 3 exons.